This 894-nucleotide long non-coding RNA is filed under the name Phasianus colchicus (ring-necked pheasant). RNAcentral describes it as "lncRNA (ENSPCLG00000004373.1)". Lineage: Eukaryota; Metazoa; Chordata; Aves; Galliformes; Phasianidae. The record is from RNAcentral.
CAGUUAAACUCUAAAACCUUAGAAGCAGAUGGAGCAUAAAGAAAAUACUGUGGGAUAAACAACAGUGUGCACCCUAUCUGGAGUUGAGUUUGGUUUUAGCAUCCGCUUUUUGCUGCAUUACCCUCAUUACUUCAAAGAUGUGCUAAGAAAUAUAGGAAAAACCUUGAAACCUUGUUUCUCUCUGACAUGUAUCAUGAAGCCUCCCUGGGACUAAUACCACCUUGUGAAAACUUCAGUUCUCAGAGGAUUCCCGUAACUUAGUGGUGUAGAUGCGUUAUAGUCUCUUUUUUAACCUUAAUUUUCAGGAUUUGGUGCUGGCUUGCCAAGGACUGUCCCAUUGUUCGUGACUGAGCACAGGGAGCAGCCUGCAGCCAAGGUAAUAUUCACUUUGCAUUGACCUUCUGCACUGUUCAGCUCUCAAAGGCAGUCUCUGGGGGAGCACCAGGGCUCACGUAGCAAAGGGGUUGCAGACCCAUUUGCUGUUGACCCUGUGGCCUGUCACCCUUGAUGUCUUCCUCUUGGGUGUCUCAGAGGUGUCUUCCAGCUGCCAUGUUAAGGAAAUUGCCUCGAUUUCACUGAUUCUUUGCUAUGAAGUUCAACCAACAGCCACUGUGUUCCUGGGGAAAUGGAUGCUCUAUGGCCAUUACAGGAUGACAGCACUUUGACCUGAUAGCUAACAAGAAGCAAUAGCUGGUCUAAAAAGUGGAGGCUGUUCUGUUUUAUUCCUUGAAUGCUGCAAUUUCCCAAGAGUGGCUGUAAAGUCAGAAGGUAUGCUUUGCAAUUUGCUAUCGUAUUAAACAGCACUAUUUUCCUCUGUUAUUUUAUCACUUCGACCAAACCCUGGGUAACUGAAAAUUCAGAUGUGUACUAGUCAAAUAGUAAAUCAUAGAAUCA